This 253-nucleotide ribosomal RNA is filed under the name uncultured bacterium. RNAcentral describes it as "partial 16S ribosomal RNA". It matches the Rfam family "Bacterial small subunit ribosomal RNA", at positions 524 to 776 of the family's 1533-position model. The record is from RNAcentral.
UACAGAGGUCUCGAGCGUUAGGCGGAAUCACUGGGCUUAAAGCGUGUGUAGGCGGAUUGGUAAGUACCUUGUGAAAUCCCACGGCUCAACCGUGGAACUGCUCGGUAUACUGCCUGUCUUGUGCAACCUAGGGGCGAGCGGAACAGAUGGUGGAGCGGUGAAAUGCGUAGAUAUCAGGAGGAACACCGAUGGCGAAGGCAGCUCGCUGGGACGGUACUUACGCUGAGGCGCGAAAGCGUGGGGAGCAAACAGG